CCUACGGGUGGCAGCAGUGGGGAAUAUUGGACAAUGGGGGCAACCCUGAUCCAGCCAUGCCGCGUGUGUGAAGAAGGCCCUCGGGUUGUAAAGCACUUUCAGUGAGGAAGAACGCCUGGUGGUUAAUACCCAUCAGGAAAGACAUCACUCACAGAAGAAGCACCGGCUAACUCCGUGCCAGCAGCCGCGGUAAUACGGAGGGUGCGAGCGUUAAUCGGAAUUACUGGGCGUAAAGCGCGCGUAGGUGGCUUGAUAAGCCGGUUGUGAAAGCCCCGGGCUCAACCUGGGAACGGCAUCCGGAACUGUCAAGCUAGAGUGCAGGAGAGGAAGGUAGAAUUCCCGGUGUAGCGGUGAAAUGCGUAGAGAUCGGGAGGAAUACCAGUGGCGAAGGCGGCCUUCUGGACUGACACUGACACUGAGGUGCGAAAGCGUGGGUAGCAAACAGGAUUAGAUACCCGGGUGGUC
Molecule: ribosomal RNA, 465 nt
Filed under: Vreelandella stevensii
Lineage: Bacteria; Pseudomonadati; Pseudomonadota; Gammaproteobacteria; Oceanospirillales; Halomonadaceae
Description: partial 16S ribosomal RNA
Rfam family: Bacterial small subunit ribosomal RNA
Source: RNAcentral